Molecule: ribosomal RNA, 472 nt
Filed under: uncultured organism
Description: bacterial SSU rRNA
Rfam family: Bacterial small subunit ribosomal RNA
Source: RNAcentral
GAUAAACGCUGGCGGCGUGCAUAACACAUUCAAGUCGAACGGAACAAUAAAGAGCUUGCUUUUUGGUUGUUUAGUGGCGGACGGGUGAGUAAUACAUGAGCAACCUGCCUUAAAGAGGGGGAUAACACCUGGAAACGGGUGCUAAUACCGCGUAAAUCAAGUAGAUGGCAUCAUUUACUUGUGAAAGGAGCAAUCCGCUUUAAGAUGGGCUCAUGUCUGAUUAGAUAGUUGGUAGGGUAAUGGCCUACCAAGUCUGCGAUCAGUAGCCGGACUGAGAGGUUGACCGGCCACAUUGGAACUGAGAUACGGUCCAGACUCCUACGGGAGGCAGCAGUGGGGAAUAUUGGGCAAUGGGCGAAAGCCUGACCCAGCGACGCCGCGUGAGGGAAGAAGGUCUUCGGAUUGUAAACCUUUGUCAACAGGGACGAAAGAAAUGACGGUACCUGUGAAGGAAGCCACGGCUAACUACGUG